GACGAACGCUGGCGGCGUGCUUAACACAUGCAAGUCGAACGGAAAGGCCCUGCUUUUGUGGGGUGCUCGAGUGGCGAACGGGUGAGUAACACGUGAGUAACCUGCCCUUGACUUUGGGAUAACUUCAGGAAACUGGGGCUAAUACCGGAUAGGAGCUCCUGCUGCAUGGUGGGGGUUGGAAAGUUUCGGCGGUUGGGGAUGGACUCGCGGCUUAUCAGCUUGUUUGUGGGGUAGUGGCUUACCAAGGCUUUGACGGGUAGCCGGCCUGAGAGGGUGACCGGCCACCUUGGGACUGCGAUACGGACCAGACUCCUACGGGAGGCAGCAGUGGGGAAUAUUGCACAAUGGGCGGAAGCCUGAUGCAGCAACGCCGCGUGCGGGAUGACGGCCUUCGGGUUGUAAACCGCUUUCGCCUGUGCCGAAGCGUGAGUGACGGUAAUGGGUAAAGAAGCACCGGCUAACUACGUG
RNAcentral lists this ribosomal RNA (468 nucleotides) under uncultured bacterium. RNAcentral describes it as "partial 16S ribosomal RNA". It matches the Rfam family "Bacterial small subunit ribosomal RNA", at positions 28 to 507 of the family's 1533-position model. The record is from RNAcentral.